This is a long non-coding RNA of Homo sapiens (human), 644 nucleotides long. Ensembl annotates it as macrophage interferon regulatory lncRNA. Its record names the gene MAILR. Lineage: Eukaryota; Metazoa; Chordata; Mammalia; Primates; Hominidae. The record is from Ensembl.
GGAGGACUGAGCCCGGGAGAGAGAGGGGAGGGGUCGGCGCGCGACCGGGUCAUGCAGGUGCAGACUGGCCGGUCGCUUCCCGCCCUCCAGCCACCCGCAGCUCCCCGGCAGGCGAAGGGCGGCCGCGCGGGUGUGGGCCGAGAGAGGGAGGCGGCUCGGCUGGAGCGCGCCGUCCGCCCGACCCCCGCCGCCUCUCGGGCGCCUGCGCUCACGCUGCGGGGCCCAGCGCAUUGUGAGCCGGGUCGAGCUCCACGCUGGCAGCGUCUGAGAGCUGUCCUGGGCCGGAGGUGGCGCGAACCCUGUGCGGCCUAGAGUGGGCCUGGGGAAGCCAGCUGCCAUGUUCUGAGUACUCUCUGGAAGGGCCUGCAUGGCAAGGAACUGAUGUUUCCAGCCAGCAGCCAGCAAGAACUGCAAGCCUUGUGAAUGAGCUUGGAAGCAGAUCCUCCCCUCACUCAAGCCAUGAUAUGACAACAGCCUGAGACCCAGAGGUCAGUAAAUUGUCAAGUUUGUAUAUCUAGCAAAUAGCAGAGCCAAAAUUCCUGUCACUCAAACUCAAGAUUUCCUCAUCUAUAAAAUGUAGUUGUUCCACAUGGCCAGAUGCAAAGUGUCAUUUAGCUAUAAGAGUCUAAUGAAUCUAGGUCCCA